GCGGAUCGACCUCGCACUAACUUUUUUGAUGAAAACGACACUAGGCCUAAGGUUUGGGUUCGCGUUCCAUACCUUGGUAAACAAGGUGAAACUUUAGUUAAAAGUUGCAUAAAGAAAAUACAAAGAUGCCUAACUGUUCCUGUAAAUUUUAUAGUUGUUUAUGACAACAAAAAGUUUUCUUAUUUCCUUUCCAACAAAGACAAAAUUCCGAAUCUUUCGAAAUCUAAUGUAGUUUAUGAGGUGACAUGUCCUGGCUGUUUCGCAACGUAUAUUGGGAAAACAGAAAGACGUUUACAGACGCGACUCGCUGAACAUACCAAUCCGACCAAAAGUGCUAUUGGACAGCAUUUUCACAACUGCGAACAUGUGCAAUACAUUGUAAACCUUCACUUUGUUUUUGACAAACUUAACAACCCAACUGACGCUGACAAUAACGUUUCCACUUUUAUUUCCAACUUAAUAUCUGACAACUCUCGAAUUCUUCACACUAUUUAUUCUCGCACACCUAACUUACUCUUGUUGCUUGAAGCUCUAUAUAUCAAGUAUCAUUCACCCAGUUUAAAUACUGGACUCAAAGCCAGUAAAGAACUCAAGCUUUUUUCUUAAUCUAUACACCCACAUUUCAUCACACUUACAUCUCACUGCAACUGUCGUGGUUCUGAUUGAGACUUCCGUUAAGCUGUCAUCAUGCCUUGCCAACUUGUAUAUAAGACCAUGUGUAUAUUGUAACUUUAGUUGGUCUGAUAAUGAUUUUGUAAUAAAAUCGAAAUAUUACUCACUCACUUUCUUGUUUGACUCAUAUUUUGGGUUUCAAGAUGCUUAUCUUCGGAUUAUGUUUUGUAUUAUAUUUUUUGAAAUUGUCGGCUGGUAUUGGUUUUUUAUUAGACUGAAAUAAGCAAGAUUUCCCGUUACAUACAUGAUUUAUACCGAGGCGGCUUUGCAUGUGCU
Paramuricea clavata is the source of this 948-nucleotide non-coding RNA. NCBI's taxonomy places the organism in Eukaryota, Metazoa, Cnidaria, Anthozoa, Malacalcyonacea, Plexauridae. The record is from the annotation of a GenBank genome assembly.